GGGGCGGUUAUUUGACCCGCUGUGCCGAUCCACACCACGGCCUGAGGGAUGAAACGCCGCCCCACAGCGACGCCAAUGGCGCUUCGGAUCACUUUGCCCCCGGCUCACCGCUCCUUACCUCAUCGGUCCGGGGGUCAUUCUUACCGGCGACAGCC
This 155-nucleotide small nucleolar RNA is filed under the name Chlamydomonas reinhardtii. RNAcentral describes it as "CrACA05a snoRNA". The record is from RNAcentral. Lineage: Eukaryota; Viridiplantae; Chlorophyta; Chlorophyceae; Chlamydomonadales; Chlamydomonadaceae.